UACGUAGGGGGCAAGCGUUGUCCGGAAUCAUUGGGCGUAAAGAGCGUGUAGGCGGCCAGAUAAGUCCGCUGUGAAAUCUCGAGGCUCAACUUCGAGCUGUCGGUGGAAACUGUCGGGCUAGAGUGCGGAAGAGGCGAGUGGAAUUCCUGGUGUAGCGGUGAAAUGCGCAGAUAUCAGGAGGAACACCAAUUGCGAAGGCAGCUCGCUGGGACGUGACUGACGCUGAGACGCGAAAGCGUGGGGAGCAAACAGG
This 253-nucleotide ribosomal RNA is filed under the name uncultured bacterium. Its description in RNAcentral is "partial 16S ribosomal RNA". It matches the Rfam family "Bacterial small subunit ribosomal RNA", at positions 524 to 776 of the family's 1533-position model. The record is from RNAcentral.